UACGGGAGGCAGCAGUGGGGAAUCUUGCGCAAUGGGCGAAAGCCUGACGCAGCCAUGCCGCGUGAAUGAUGAAGGUCUUAGGAUUGUAAAAUUCUUUUCACCGGGGACGAUAAUGACGGUACCCGGAGAAGAAGCCCCGGCUAACUUCGUGCCAGCAGCCGCGGUAAUACGAAGGGGGCUAGCGUUGCUCGGAAUUACUGGGCGUAAAGGGAGCGUAGGCGGACAUUUAAGUCAGGGGUGAAAUCCCGGGGCUCAACCUCGGAAUUGCCUUUUGAUACUGGGUGUCUUGAGUAUGAGAGAGGUGUGUGGAACUCCGAGUGUAGAGGUGAAAUUCGUAGAUAUUCGGAAGAACACCAGUGGCGAAGGCGACACACUGGCUCAUUACUGACGCUGAGGCUCGAAAGCGUGGGGAGCAAACAGGGAUUAGAUACC
Molecule: ribosomal RNA, 432 nt
Filed under: uncultured bacterium
Lineage: Bacteria
Description: bacterial SSU rRNA
Rfam family: Bacterial small subunit ribosomal RNA
Source: RNAcentral